This 492-nucleotide ribosomal RNA is filed under the name uncultured bacterium. RNAcentral describes it as "partial 16S ribosomal RNA". It matches the Rfam family "Bacterial small subunit ribosomal RNA", at positions 29 to 507 of the family's 1533-position model. The record is from RNAcentral.
AGUGAACGCUGGCGGUAGGCCUAACACAUGCAAGUCGAACGGCAGCACAGUAAGAGCUUGCUCUUACGGGUGGCGAGUGGCGGACGGGUGAGGAAUACAUCGGAAUCUACUUUUUCGUGGGGGAUAACGUAGGGAAACUUACGCUAAUACCGCAUACGACCUACGGGUGAAAGCAGGGGAUCUUCGGACCUUGCGCGAUUGAAUGAGCCGAGGUCGGAUUAGCUAGUUGGCGGGGUAAAGGCCCACCAAGGCGACGAUCCGUAGCUGGUCUGAGAGGAUGAUCAGCCACACUGGAGCUGAGACACGGUCCAGACUCCUACGGGAGGCAGCAGUGGGGAAUAUUGGACAAUGGGCGCAAGCCUGAUCCAGCCAUACCGCGUGGGUGAAGAAGGCCUUCGGGUUGUAAAGCCCUUUUGUUGGGAAAGAAAAGCAGCAGGUUAAUACCCCGCUGUUCUGACGGUACCCAAAGAAUAAGCACCGGCUAACUUCGUG